RNAcentral lists this transfer RNA (76 nucleotides) under Candidatus Babelota bacterium. RNAcentral describes it as "tRNA-His". It matches the Rfam family "tRNA". Rfam says of the family: Transfer RNA (tRNA) molecules are approximately 80 nucleotides in length. The record is from RNAcentral.
GUGGAUGUAGCUCAGUAGGUAGAGCGCCAGAUUGUGGCUCUGGUGGCCGUGGGUUCGAGUCCCACCAUUCACCCCA